Long non-coding RNA from Frieseomelitta varia, 950 nucleotides. RefSeq lists it as uncharacterized. NCBI's taxonomy places the organism in Eukaryota, Metazoa, Arthropoda, Insecta, Hymenoptera, Apidae. The transcript is spliced from 2 exons. The record is from RefSeq and is a predicted model, not a curated record.
UAACGUAUAACUAUGUGCCCUAUGAUGCACAGUGAUUUGCAUACCUUCAUUUUACAUUUCGCCUAAUUUAAUUUUUUAUAAUACAUUAACAGCAGUAAGUCUCUUAAUAAGCUCGAUAGCAAACAAAUGUUCAACAAAUACAAAUACGGAAGAUCCGCAAAGAAGAUCGAAUUGAAUACUACCAAUAGUACGUGAAACUCUUAGGAAGCAAGCAUUUUGGCGAAAGGAAUCAAAAUAAUAGUAAAACUGGGGUUGGUAAGUAAAGAAGGCGGUCGAGUGAAAUUCGCAGGAGGUAGAAAUGCGGGCGUAAGGAGGGUUGGGUCUCUGACUCGAAGCAAUCGCGUCAGAUUGGUCCCGCAAAUACAGUAGAGGGAUAUUGUCGGUGUAGCCAAAAAGGCUUGCCGUGUUUGGAUGUACGACAUCGUAGUCAGAUCUCGGUAUAUCAACUGAAAUUUAUCAAAAACUCCGGCAACAGAGAAAAAAUUGAUAUUCACCUCCAAAAUGGCGAAGGAGCAGGCACAGAAGCAUGCGCGCAGCUCCAAGCACUCUCUUCAGGCGGAGCACCUCUUUUUCCUGAACUUGGCCGAUCCUUCGAGCAUAUUAAGAUCCGAGGAUCACAAUUUUUUGUUGUGCAAACGCACCGCACCCCGGAAAAGUACACGCCUCGUACGUGUCACGCACGUACGCACACACGCGCGAGACGCGACAAUCCGCGGUAACGCAACAAUACGGCACCCACUAUCAGUCGGACACACGAGAAUUCGCAAACUUUUUGACGCCUUUUCGUCUAGUCUGGGUAUACUCUACACAGCAGGCGAAUUCUCCGACGACGGUGAGUGGCGCUCUACGUUGGUCAAGUACUAAACUAGAAAAUAUUACCGGUAACAAAGAGCUACUUUUUUACCAAUUUUACUGAAUAAAGCAACAUUGAUAAAAAAGAAAAAUUGAAA